RNAcentral lists this ribosomal RNA (326 nucleotides) under uncultured eukaryote. Its description in RNAcentral is "partial 18S ribosomal RNA". It matches the Rfam family "Eukaryotic small subunit ribosomal RNA", at positions 1470 to 1796 of the family's 1831-position model. The record is from RNAcentral.
CCCUUAGAUGUUCUGGGCAGCACGCGCGCUACACUGAUGCAUUCAACAAGCCUAGCCUUGACCGAGAGGUCCGGGUAAUCUUUGAAACUGCAUCGUGAUGGGGCUAGAUUAUUGCAAUUAUUAAUCUUCAACGAGGAAUGCCUAGUAAGCGUGAUUCAUCAAAUCGCGUUGAUUACGUCCCUGCCCUUUGUACACACCGCCCGUCGCUCCUACCGAUUGAAUGUGUUGGUGAGGAGCUCGGAUUGGCAGCAGUUGGUGGUUCGCCACCGGCUAUUGCUGAGAAGUCCUCCAAACCGCCCCAUUUAGAGGAAGGAGAAGUCGUAACA